RNAcentral lists this ribosomal RNA (461 nucleotides) under uncultured bacterium. RNAcentral's name for it is "bacterial SSU rRNA". It matches the Rfam family "Bacterial small subunit ribosomal RNA", at positions 28 to 507 of the family's 1533-position model. The record is from RNAcentral.
GACGAACGCUGGCGGCGUGCUUAAUACAUGCAAGUCGAGCGGUGAACCCGACUGAAAGCCUUCGGGCUUGACGUUGGGGGAUCAGCGGCGGAUGGGUGAGUAACGCGUGGGUACCUGCCCUAAAGUCUGGGAUAACAACUCGAAAGGGUUGCUAAUACCGGAUGUGACCGAGAGGUUAAAGGCAGAGAUGUCGCUUUAGGAUGGGCCCGCGUCCCAUUAGCUAGUUGGUGAGGUAAGGGCUCACCAAGGCUGCGAUGGGUAGCCGGCCUGAGAGGGUGGACGGCCACACUGGGACUGAGACACGGCCCAGACUCCUACGGGAGGCAGCAGUAGGGAAUUUUCCGCAAUGGACGGAAGUCUGACGGAGCGACGCCGCGUGAAGGAAGAAGGUCUUCGGAUUGUAAACUUCUUUGGUGAAGAAAAGGACGGUAGCCAAGGAGGAAGCCCCGGCUAACUACGUG